Molecule: long non-coding RNA, 731 nt
Organism: Carya illinoinensis
Lineage: Eukaryota; Viridiplantae; Streptophyta; Magnoliopsida; Fagales; Juglandaceae
Exons: 2
Source: RefSeq, a predicted model, not a curated record
ACGAGGAAAUCUUAGCGAGGAAGCGGGCGUUUUGAAAACCAUAUAUAUUCUUUGCAGAACCCACGGCUUUUUGAAACUGCCGCAAGGAAAUUCGCACUUCGCACCACACUUUAAACAGUUCCGCUCUUCUAUUGGCUACCGUACGGUCAGCUCAGACCCGGUUCGGAUCCAACUGCGUCACUUGAAAUCAUAGCCAUUACCUGAGACGUCGUGGAAAGGAAUUACAAAGUAGCUAUUUAUUGUCAAUCUUGAAUUUUAGUGGCACAAGGUGUGAUGAGUAGUUGUAUUAUGUUCGAAACACGCCAUACAAGUGGAUUGGUCCUGGAUAACUAUUUUUAAGAAAAGUGCAGCAAUAUCACUCAUCGAUUGUGUGAUUGUGACAGUGUUGUCAACUGUAAGCAGCUUUAGUUUGCCUAGUGAGAGUUGCAAAGCUUUGUAUGGCCAAAGAUAUUAAGUUUAGAAGAUUGUUUUGUAUCUGAUAUUCCAUUUGUUAUAGUCGUGCUUCGACCUGCUGAGUUCUAUAGGCCCUUGCAGUUUUAAAAUGAGGAUACAUGAUGUCAAACAUAAUCAUUAAAUCUUUAUUAAUGGUUUGAUUUCUGUUGUUUGAACUGACGUGUAACCGAAUAUUUUGAAUGCUUGGUUUAGAUCUUUUAGGGAGAUCCGUAAGAGUUAUUCUUUUUAGGGAGAUAUUAUGAAUGUGUAACCUGAUUGAAAUGACUGUGCUUGUUUCA